RNAcentral lists this transfer RNA (63 nucleotides) under Ameerega hahneli. Its description in RNAcentral is "tRNA-Lys". Lineage: Eukaryota; Metazoa; Chordata; Amphibia; Anura; Dendrobatidae. The record is from RNAcentral.
AGCUUUAAGGUAAGCGUCAGCCUUUUAAGCUGAAGACAGGUGACCCCCAACCACCCUCAGCGA